UUCACAUAUUGCUGAUAGGUUCUAUGUAGUUAGCCACAGGGGAAUUCUGGUUUGUAUCCAGAACUGUCGCGCAACGGUGAAGUCGCUUAGCGAACAAGUCCGAAAACCUGGGCUGUCGAAUAUUUUUGU
RNAcentral lists this non-coding RNA (129 nucleotides) under Propionimicrobium lymphophilum. Lineage: Bacteria; Bacillati; Actinomycetota; Actinomycetes; Propionibacteriales; Propionibacteriaceae. The record is from RNAcentral.